CUGCUGUUGUUUAUUGAGGCCUGUGUGUUUGAGCAGGUGGAGAGGAUUAGCGGUGCUGUCGACACUGAAGGCUGGAUGCAGCUCUCCUCAGUCUGCUCAUUAGAGCUCAUCAUUUUAGCAUUUCACUCUCACACACAUCUGAAGAGUGGCAGCCCCGUCUCCAGUUGUGAAGCAGAUGUUGCCCUCUGUUUUACCCAUCUCUGCACCCUUUAUCCCAUGCCAAGUCCUAAGAACCAAUGGUGCCAUGCUAAGUGAGGGACACAAUGGAUAUGUAAAAAUAGCAGAAUACAGGUUCUUGGCACUGAGCAGGAAACCACUGAGCAAAACCCUGCCUGAAAAACCAAAACCCAAAUGCUGCUCUGAAACGCAUACAACUGGAGGCUGCAGUAAACUUGAUGGAAAGGCAGAGGGCAGUAGUGCACUAAAGCAGCCCCCCAACAAGCCCUCUCUCCCACACUCUCUCUUUCACAAUGGAAGCGCACCCGGGGGGAAGUGUUGCUUUUUUAGGUCUAUAAGCCCGUAUCCCUUAAUCCCUCACCAUGAUUGACAAUCAUGAUUUAGGGUAUAUGGUGUCCCAUUCUAAUCCAGCAGCACUGCUUUCAUUUGCAUACUUGCCGUGCAUGGCCUCAUUUUCGGGGGAGGCAUACUGCCUGCUGCCUUUGUAAGAGAUGCAGAGAGAGAGGAGAGGAAAAGAGAGGGAGAGAGAGAGAACAAAAAGGAAAACAGGAGAUAGAAAGAGAGCUGAGAGGAGAGAGAAUUUAGAAAAGAGAGUUGGCUGGCACUGAGGAGAGAGAGAGAAAGAGCAAAGGAGAGAAUGAUGAAAAUUAGAUUAGAGAAAGAAAGAGAGAUUAGAAAUUGGGAAUGUUUGUGUAUGUCUGCCAGGAGUGAGGAUAACUGUGUGUGAGAGAGACUGUGUGUGUGUGUGUGUACCAAAGUCAGUCCUUGCCAUCUAGCCACUUCAGUAUCUCUCAAUUGCCCUCCAGCUCUAAAGAUGCAUCCCAAGGCACAUCACACAGACGAGAGAGACGAGGAGAAAGGCUAAAUUAGCAUUAACUUAAUUAAUGAGUCAUUUGUGGUAACAACGUAGAAAGACAUAGGACACCUGCAAAUAAAAAGGACAGACGAAUUAUGAUUUAAAACACAAUUGUAACCUUUGGAAAUUAGGUGAAGGCUACUUUAUAGCUUGAAAGUAGAAAGCAUGCAAAAUAAUUUUUUAAAGGCUGUUAGUCUGAAAACAACAUUGAAUACACAAUAUCAAAAAAAAAAAAAAAAAUGAAAUCAUAACAGCAGAACUAAUAGUAUCUGACCUUCAUUUUCUGUGUAUAUUUUCAACUGCCUUCCUCAAUGCAUCGCAAAAAAUGUCAUAUGCCAUGUCUUGGUUUCAUACAUUGAAAACUUUUGUAAUUUUGUAUGAUAUCAUUAUGUGCGAAGGGAAGGUCAAACAUUUACAGUCCAAACAAUCAAACAGAAGGUCAAACAUUUACAGUCCAAACAUUCAAACAAAAGGUCAGUCAUUCAGACAGAACAGUUUGUUGUGACAGAUUUAUCCAUUUAGGUUCACUGCAGUUUGAAUGAUAAUGCAGAUUUAUAUUUAAAAUAAUCCGUUAUUUAAAGAUGUCAGUUAAAUGCCUUUGUGGCGUAGAAAAGAUCAGAAAAAACUAUUAAAUAAGUAAUAUAGUAUAGUCUACAAUAAUUAUGUUAUUUUAAUAUUUUAAAUAUACAUAUAUAAUUAUGUUUUUGUUUAUUAAUGUGUAAUGACAUUUGGUCAAAC
Long non-coding RNA from Cyprinus carpio carpio, 1771 nucleotides. The record is from Ensembl. NCBI's taxonomy places the organism in Eukaryota, Metazoa, Chordata, Actinopteri, Cypriniformes, Cyprinidae.